CCAAGCGCUGGUCCUGGCGCGGCUUCGUGGCCCUAUGUCCCGCUGGCGAAGUACGAAGCUAUGCGGCUGUCGGGUGGCACAGGUCCGGAGCCUCGCGUUUGCGGAUCGCGGCGGCGGAGCCCGGGGAGAGUUGGACUUCCAUUUACCAUACCCAAGGUGAUCUCCCUGUUGCAACAAGGAGAAGAUCACUGGAAGGCAGAGAAAGAAAGGCUUGGAGACUCUGCUCUUGGUGGUGAGUCUGGCUAAGAGUGUGCAGCUUAGCAUGUUGGCUGGGAAACUUCUUCAGAUUGUCAGUGCUCAAGAAGUGAUGGGGAGGUGAGCAUGGGAGUGCGUGCCUGCAGUCAGGAAACGUGGUGUAUUUAAGGGAUUGCAAGUAAUUCAUUCUGGCUGAAGCUCAGGGGAUGUACAGGAAAAGAGACCAGAAAGGAAAUGAGAUUGAAGACUCUGUAAGGGUCACAUCAUAAGAGCUUCAGUGCAGUUCUAAGAGAGUUGAGCUGUCCCAUGGAUGACUGGAAAUAUUUGAGGAACUUAAAUAGAGCAUUAUAUAAUCCUUGACAGUUUGAAAAGCAAAUCUUCUUUUGGUAAUAGGGUUUUAUUGCAUUUAUUGAUACCUUCUGGAGGUGGUGGCAGUGGUAGUGAGUGGUGUUAGAGAUCGAUCUCAGGGCUUCAUUCAUGUUAGGCAAGUGUUCUCCGCUGUACUAUGCCCUCAGCCCCUUACUGAUUUUCAUUAGGAAGAUUUUAGAAGUUUUUAUCUGUAUCAACUUUAAAUAGAAUUAUUUCUGUAAUAGUUGUUUUGUGAGAACAGUGUAGGCCCCUUCCCAUAAUAUCAAAACCUUUGUAAUACUUUCAUUCAUUACUGUUUUAGGAUGCCGUCUCUCUUGGGAGGCUGAGACAGGAGGAUCUCAACUUUCAGGCCAGCUUGGGCAACACAGCGAGACCCUGUUUCACUAAAAAAAAAAAAAAGUUGAUUUGGAUGUAUAUCUAAAUCUUGGUUUUAUGAGUGCUUAAUGAGAAAAUAAAAAGGAAAACUUUCAUGUGAAAGAUCCUGGA
This 1050-nucleotide long non-coding RNA is filed under the name Castor canadensis (American beaver). Its description in RNAcentral is "lncRNA (ENSCCNG00000015589.1)". The record is from RNAcentral. Lineage: Eukaryota; Metazoa; Chordata; Mammalia; Rodentia; Castoridae.